Molecule: long non-coding RNA, 552 nt
Organism: Larimichthys crocea (large yellow croaker)
Lineage: Eukaryota; Metazoa; Chordata; Actinopteri; Sciaenidae
Exons: 3
Source: RefSeq, a predicted model, not a curated record
ACCAGCUGCGUCAUCACGCAGAGCACGCAACCAGCAGGAGGAGGGAGGGGGGGAUCCCUCCGCCUCACCGCGGCACAGCGCACAGAUCCCUCCGCCAGGCUCCGACAUAUAACAUGGUCCACGCGCUCAGCGAUUGGCUGAGGAGCUCUCUCGAACUGCCGCGCUCUCAUUGGUUGGAAUCGGCUCCAGGUGAAACGUGAUUGGUGGAUGGUCGGCAAGGCAAAGCAUGAGCGCAGUGCAGACUGUGCACAGGUUGGAGCUGUCGCUCACACACUCAGCAGCUCAGUGCUUCGUCCUCUGUCGCUGUCUUCAUGGACUUUGAGGAUCUUUAUUUCCCGCUCGAUGCCUUCAGACUCCACUGUCAAUAACAAUUAAGAGCAGAAUAAAUCUUUUGUUUUUCUGCUUUCAGCAAAUCGAGUCAGUGUGCUGCUCUCCUGUUGCUAUAGCAAUAGCGGACACUGCCCCCUAUUUUAGACUUGUUUUCUGGUUGCUGUUGCCAUGGGAUUUGCAUCUCUCUCUCUCUCUCUCUCUCUCUCUCUUCGUACCUGCUGU